Molecule: transfer RNA, 78 nt
Filed under: bacterium
Lineage: Bacteria
Description: tRNA-Asp
Rfam family: tRNA
About the family: Transfer RNA (tRNA) molecules are approximately 80 nucleotides in length.
Source: RNAcentral
GGGGUUGUAGCUCAGUUUGGUUAGAGCGUCCGCCUGUCACGCGGAAGGUCGCGGGUUCGAGUCCCGUCAACCCCGCCA